UCCAGAGGGUGCGAUCGUUAAUCGGAAUUACUGGGCGUAAAGCGCACGUAGGCGGCUUGGUAUGUCGGGUGUGAAAACCCCGGGCUCAACCUGGGAACUGCAUCCGAAACUGCCUUGCUCGAGUAUGGGAGAGGGAAGUGGAAUUUCCGGUGUAGCGGUGAAAUGCGUAGAUAUCGGAAGGAACAUCAGUGGCGAAGGCGACUUCCUGGACCAAUACUGACGCUCAGGUGCGAAAGCGUGGGGAGCUAACAGG
RNAcentral lists this ribosomal RNA (253 nucleotides) under uncultured bacterium. Its description in RNAcentral is "partial 16S ribosomal RNA". It matches the Rfam family "Bacterial small subunit ribosomal RNA", at positions 524 to 776 of the family's 1533-position model. The record is from RNAcentral.